Molecule: long non-coding RNA, 570 nt
Filed under: Mus musculus (house mouse)
Lineage: Eukaryota; Metazoa; Chordata; Mammalia; Rodentia; Muridae
Description: distal-less homeobox 6, opposite strand 1
Source: RNAcentral
ACUUCUGUUUCAAAGAUGGACUGGGGAAAGACAUUAAGUUUGGAGCAGCUCAGUGCUACGGAUCUAGCCUCUCUCCCUCGGGUCUCCAGACUCACUUGGUCCAAGCUGCGGAGCAGGGACAGCGGAGCUCAGGCGGCCACGUUCAGGCCCAGCCACCAGAACCAGAGAGAAACCUACGCCCAGAAGAACAUGUCCCUGGAUUGCUUUCCCACUGCUGUGGAGUGUCUUGAACACUGGUCCCUGGACACCAACUUCAAGAAGACUUCAUGGAUGGCUGUCCAGUCUUAUGAGCCACAGUUUCCCCUCUACAUUUUCUUCACUCCAGCGAGGCUCUUAUCAGGUUCAGUCGAGGAAUAGCUUCCUCCAGGUGGUCUAUACCUAUCGCCAGUUUACAGAAAAAGGAAGCCAGGUGGAUGGAAAACGUGUGCCAAGUUUCUGUGCUUACAAUCCACUAAACUCAUUCUCAUAUGAGGACUUUAUAUACCUGUGAUGGAGUGGGAAAAUCAAUAACCUGGAAAAAAUGAGUACCAUUUUCCAAAGAAGUUCAAUAAAGAGAUGGAAUUUGGGAAA